UGGGGAAUUUUGGACAAUGGGCGCAAGCCUGAUCCAGCCAUGCCGCGUGCGGGAAGAAGGCCUUCGGGUUGUAAACCGCUUUUGUCAGGGAAGAAAUCUUCUGAGUUAAUACCUCGGGAGGAUGACGGUACCUGAAGAAUGAGCACCGGCUAACUACGUGCCAGCAGCCGCGGUAAUACGUAGGGUGCAAGCGUUAAUCGGAAUUACUGGGCGUAAAGCGUGCGCAGGCGGUUUUGUAAGACAGAGGUGAAAUCCCCGGGCUCAACCUGGGAACUGCCUUUGUGACUGCAAGGCUUGAGUGCGGCAGAGGGGGAUGGAAUUCCGCGUGUAGCAGUGAAAUGCGUAGAUAUGCGGAGGAACACCGAUGGCGAAGGCAAUCCCCUGGGCCUGCACUGACGCUCAUGCACGAAAGCGUGGGGAGCAAACAGGAUUAGAUAGCCCUGGUAGUCCACGCCCUAAACGAUGUCAACUGGUUGUUGGGAAGGUUCCUUCUCAGUAACGUAGCUAACGCGUGAAGUUGACCGCCUGGGGAGUACGGCCGCAAGGUUGAAACUCAAAUGAAUUGAC
RNAcentral lists this ribosomal RNA (567 nucleotides) under uncultured bacterium. RNAcentral describes it as "partial 16S ribosomal RNA". It matches the Rfam family "Bacterial small subunit ribosomal RNA", at positions 355 to 914 of the family's 1533-position model. The record is from RNAcentral.